AAGUUAUUAACCAAAAGAAGGUAUUGUGUUUUGAAAACAUAAAAAAGAGGUUAAAUUCCUCUAUAACUUU
This 70-nucleotide transfer RNA is filed under the name Panesthia parva. Its description in RNAcentral is "tRNA-Ser". It matches the Rfam family "tRNA". Rfam says of the family: Transfer RNA (tRNA) molecules are approximately 80 nucleotides in length. Their secondary structure includes four short double-helical elements and three loops (D, anti-codon, and T loops). Lineage: Eukaryota; Metazoa; Arthropoda; Insecta; Blattodea; Blaberidae. The record is from RNAcentral.